GUGCCAGCAGCCGCGGUAAGACAGAGGGUGCAAACGUUGUUCGGAUUUACUGGGCGUAAAGCGCGUGUAGGCGGCUUCGCAAGUUGGAUGUGAAAGCCCACGGCUCAACCGUGGAAGCGCAUCCAAAACUGCGUCGCUCGAGUCUCGGAGAGGAAGGUGGAAUGCUUGGUGUAGAGGUGAAAUUCGUAGAUAUCAAGCAGAACACCUGCGGCGAAGGCGGCCUUCUGGACGAUGACUGACGCUGAGACGCGAAAGCGUGGGGAGCAAACAGGAUUAGAAACCCGUGUAGUCC
This 292-nucleotide ribosomal RNA is filed under the name uncultured bacterium. Its description in RNAcentral is "partial 16S ribosomal RNA". It matches the Rfam family "Bacterial small subunit ribosomal RNA", at positions 505 to 796 of the family's 1533-position model. The record is from RNAcentral.